GUGCUCACUUCAGCAGCACCUAUACUCAAAUUGGAACGACACAGAGAUUAGCAUGGCCUCUGCACAAGGAUGACACAAAAAUUCAUGAAGUGUUCUGUAUUUUC
This is a small nuclear RNA of Pongo abelii (Sumatran orangutan), 104 nucleotides long. Lineage: Eukaryota; Metazoa; Chordata; Mammalia; Primates; Hominidae. The record is from Ensembl.